GUGGGGAAUCUUCCGCAAUGGACGAAAGUCUGACGGAGCGACGCCGCGUGAGUGAAGAAGGCCUUCGGGUCGUAAAGCUCUGUCAUCAGGGACGAACGGCCGGUGGAGUGGAAAGCCACCGGAUUGACGGUACCUGAGAAGGAAGCCACGGCUAACUACGUGCCAGCAGCCGCGGUAAUACGUAGGUGGCAAGCGUUGUCCGGAAUUAUUGGGCGUAAAGCGCGCGCAGGUGGGAUCUUAAGUCCAUUUUGAAAGUUCGGAGCUCAACUCCGUGAUGGGAUGGAAACUGGGAUUCUUGAGUACCGGAGAGGAAAGCGGAAUUCCCCGUGUAGCGGUGAAAUGCGUAGAUAUGGGGAGGAACACCAGUGGCGAAGGCGGCUUUCUGGACGGUGUCUGACACUGAGGCGCGAAAGCCAGGGGAGCGAACGGGAUUAGAAACCCCAGUAGUCC
This 450-nucleotide ribosomal RNA is filed under the name uncultured bacterium. RNAcentral's name for it is "partial 16S ribosomal RNA". It matches the Rfam family "Bacterial small subunit ribosomal RNA", at positions 354 to 796 of the family's 1533-position model. The record is from RNAcentral.